Molecule: ribosomal RNA, 577 nt
Filed under: uncultured bacterium
Lineage: Bacteria
Description: bacterial SSU rRNA
Rfam family: Bacterial small subunit ribosomal RNA
Source: RNAcentral
CCGUUCAAUACUGCGGAGCUCGAGGGCAGAAGAGGGGGGUGGAAUUGCUGGUGUAGUGGUGAAAUGCGUAGAUAUCAGCAGGAACACCUGUGGCGAAAGCGGCCCCCUGGUCUGCCCCUGACACUCAGACGCGAAAGCUAGGGGAGUGAACGGGAUUAGAAACCCCGGUAAUCCUAGCCGUAAACGAUGGAUGCUAGGUGUGGGUGGUAUUGACCCCAUCCGUGCCGAAGCCAACGCGUUAAGCAUCCCGCCUGGGGACUACGGCCGCAAGGUUAAAACUCAAAGGAAUUGACGGGGACCCGCACAAGCAGCGGAGCGUGUGGUUUAAUUCGAUGCUACACGAAGAACCUUACCCAGGUUUGACAUGCAGGUAGUAGUGAAGCGAAAGCGGAACGAUCCUUCGGGAAGCCUGCACAGGUGCUGCAUGGCUGUCGUCAGCUCGUGCCGUGAGGUGUUUGGUUAAGUCCACUAACGAGCGCAACCCCUGUCGUCAGUUACAUGUGUCUGGCGAGACUGCCGGUCUUAAACCGGAGGAAGGUGGGGAUGACGUCAAGUCAGCAUGGCCUUUAUAUCUGGG